RNAcentral lists this ribosomal RNA (468 nucleotides) under uncultured bacterium. Its description in RNAcentral is "partial 16S ribosomal RNA". It matches the Rfam family "Bacterial small subunit ribosomal RNA", at positions 28 to 507 of the family's 1533-position model. The record is from RNAcentral.
GACGAACGCUGGCGGCGUGCUUAACACAUGCAAGUCGAACGGAAAGGCCCUGCUUGUUUGGGGUUCUCGAGUGGCGAACGGGUGAGUAACACGUGAGUAACCUGCCCUUGACUUUGGGAUAACUUCAGGAAACUGGGGCUAAUACCGGAUAGGAGCUCCUGCUGCAUGGUGGGGGUUGGAAAGUUUCGGCGGUUGGGGCUGGACUCGCGGCUGAUCAGCUUGUUGGUUGGGUAGUGGCUUACCAAGGCUUUGACGGGUAGCCGGCAUGAGAGGGUGGCCGGCCACAUUGGGACUGAGAGACGGACCAGACUCCUACGGGAGGCAGCAGUGGGGAAUAUUGCACAAUGGGCGGACGCCUGAUGCAGCAACGCCGCGUGCGGGAUGACGGCUUUCGGGUUGUAAACCGCUUUAGCCUGUGACGAAGCGUGAGUGACGGUAAUGGGUAAAGAAGCACCGGCUAACUACGUG